GUGCUCGUUUUAACAGCACAUAUACUAAAAUUGCAACAAUACAGAGAUGAGCAUGAUCCCUGCACAAGGAUGACAUGCAAAUUCCUAAAGUGUUCUGUAUUAAA
This is a small nuclear RNA of Vulpes vulpes (red fox), 104 nucleotides long. The record is from Ensembl. Lineage: Eukaryota; Metazoa; Chordata; Mammalia; Carnivora; Canidae.